GGGCAAGCGUUGUUCGGAAUUACUGGGCGUAAAGGGCGCGUAGGCGGCCCGCUAAGUCGAACGUGAAAUCCCCAGGCUUAACCUGGGAACUGCGUCCGAUACUGGCAGGCUUGAAUCCGGGAGAGGGAUGUGGAAUUCCAGGUGUAGCGGUGAAAUGCGUAGAUAUCUGGAGGAACACCGGUGGCGAAGGCGGCAUCCUGGACCGGCAUUGACGCUGAGGCGCGAAAGCUAGGGGAGCAAACGGG
Molecule: ribosomal RNA, 245 nt
Filed under: uncultured bacterium
Lineage: Bacteria
Description: partial 16S ribosomal RNA
Rfam family: Bacterial small subunit ribosomal RNA
Source: RNAcentral